CUGAUUACAAAUUUUGGACUUUGGGUUUGAAUUCAAUAGAACUGUUGACUUCUUUGGAAAGAAAACCCAUGCCUUGCCCAUAUUGAACUCUCCACAGACUUCCACCUACAAUCAGUGGAAUGAAAGUUGCUCUGCCAGCCAACGAUUCACAGCUCCCACUGCACGCUCCUACUUUGAAUCUUAGGUGUGUAAGGCUUCUCCCACCAGGAGAAGCAGUGUGAGGGCAGGCACAGCAGCUCAGCAGCCUGGCUUGGACUAAACCCUGGCUGAAUGGUGGAGACAGAAAGGGAGAAAGACAAGACUAUCUGGUUUGGGAUACUGCAGCUAAGAAGCCAACAGAAAGGUUUACUGAAA
Long non-coding RNA from Serinus canaria (Common canary), 354 nucleotides. RefSeq lists it as uncharacterized. The record is from RefSeq and is a predicted model, not a curated record. The transcript is spliced from 3 exons. Lineage: Eukaryota; Metazoa; Chordata; Aves; Passeriformes; Fringillidae.